RNAcentral lists this ribosomal RNA (545 nucleotides) under uncultured bacterium. RNAcentral's name for it is "bacterial SSU rRNA". It matches the Rfam family "Bacterial small subunit ribosomal RNA", at positions 777 to 1319 of the family's 1533-position model. The record is from RNAcentral.
AAUAGAUACCCUGGUAGUCCACGCCGUAAACGAUGAGUGCUAAGUGUUAGGGGGUUUCCGCCCCUUAGUGCUGCAGCUAACGCAUUAAGCACUCCGCCUGAGGAGUACGGUCGCAAGACUGAAACUCAAAGGAAUUGACGGGGGCCCGCACAGGCGGUGGAGCAUGUGGUUUAAUUCGAAGCAACGCGAAGAACCUUACCAGGUCUUGACAUCCCAUUGACCGCUAUGGAGACAUAGUUUUCCCUUCGGGGACAGUGGUGACAGGUGGUGCAUGGUUGUCGUCAGCUCGUGUCGUGAGAUGUUGGGUUAAGUCCCGCAACGAGCGCAACCCUUGUUCUUAGUUGCCAUCAUUUAGUUGGGCACUCUAAGGAGACUGCCGGUGACAAACCGGAGGAAGGUGGGGAUGACGUCAAAUCGAUCAUGCCCCUUAUGACCUGGGCUACACACGUGCUACAAUGGACGGUACAAACGGUUGCCAACCCGCGAGGGGGAGCUAAUCCGAUAAAACCGUUCUCAGUUCGGAUUGUAGGCUGCAACUCGCCUAC